Molecule: transfer RNA, 5783 nt
Filed under: Candidatus Yanofskybacteria bacterium RIFCSPHIGHO2_12_FULL_44_29b
Lineage: Bacteria; Candidatus Yanofskyibacteriota
Also listed under: 1 other name
Description: 23S ribosomal RNA
Rfam family: Bacterial large subunit ribosomal RNA (bases 2-2985)
Source: RNAcentral
CAUUAAAGAAUUAAGGGCGUAUGGAGGAUGCCUUGACACGAAAGAGCGAAGAAGGUCGUGGCGUGACUGCGAUAAGCUUCGGGGAGCCGUCUAGCGGGCUUUGAUCCGGAGAUGACCGAAUGGGGGAACCCCAUCGAGCAAACCUCGAUGACCCGGCGCAAGCUGGGAGCGUACCUGGCGAAGUGAAACAUCUCAGUAGCCAGAGGAAAAGAAAUCAACAAGAUUCCCUUAGUAGCGGCGAGCGAAAAGGGAUAAGCCUAAACUUUUUUAACGCAAGUUAAAAAGGGGUAAUAAGGAUAGAACACUUGAAUUUUUAUCGUUGCGCUUUCGAAGGCAGCGGUAAAAAUUUGAAAGAAGUUACAAAUUCCAAAGUUAGCAGAACGGCCUUGGAACAGCCGGCCAAAGAAGGUGAUAGCCCUGUAAGCGAAAACUUCUGGAACUUCUGUUUUAUUGCGGCGCAAGCCGCCUUGCUUGAGUAGCCCGGGAUAAGAAUGUCCUGGGUGAAUUUGCCCAUACUACUGGGUAAGGCUAAAUAUCUUUCGUGAUCGAUAGUGAACCAGUACCGUGAGGGAAAGGUGAAAAGCACCCCGGUGAGGGGAGUGAAAUAGCAACUGAAACCAUAUGCCUACAAAGAGCGGAAGUCCUUCGGCGGCAGCAAUGCCGUCUGGGAUGACCGUGUGCCUAUUGAAGAAUGACCCAACGAGUUUAUCCAAAUUGCUCUAUAAGUGCCUCUGGCACGUAUGGAAAGGGAAACCGAGUGUUAAAAGCGCGUAUUAGAACUAAAUAAAAUUUUCUUUAAAAAGAAAGUUUUAAUAGUUCUAGAAGCAGUUUGGGUAAGACCCGAAGCCAGGCGAGCUAACCAUGCCCAGGAUGAAGGUUGUCGAAAGACAACUGGAGGUCCGAACUGGUUGGUAGCGCAAUACCAUCGGAUGAGGUGUGGUUCGUAGUGAAAAGCUUAUCGAGCCUGGUAAUAGCUGGUUCUCCCCGAAAUGCCUUUAGGGGCAGCGGCGGAUUGUAGUUGAGGGGGUAGAGCACUGAUUGGUUUGCCGUGCCCGCAAGGGUAGGCUUACCAAAUAAACUCCGAAUACCUCAGCGUAAUUUCCGCCAGUGAGUAAGCGAGGGCAAAGCUUCGUUUACGCGAGGGAAACAGCCCAGAUCAUCAAUUAAGGUCCCAAAAUCUAUGCUAAGUGAAAAGGAAGUAUUCUGCCUUAGACAGGUAGGAUGUUGGCUUAGAAGCAGCCAUCAUUUAAAAAGUGCGUAAUAGCUUACUACUCGAUUUCGCCGCAAGGCGACGAGGCAGGAUGCGCCGAAAAUUUAUAGGGGCUAAGCAUAGUACCGAAAUUAUGGGUUUGAUGAUUUCGAAAAGGAUUUGUGGUGCCGUAGCUCAGUCAGAGCACUGGGUCCCGGGCCCAGAGGUCGACGGUUCAAAUCCGUCCGGCGCCACCAACCUGUCGGAUUAAAAUCAGGCGAGACCUGAUAAUCCGAUCUUUUUCGAAAUCAUCAAGCGGUAGGGGAGCAUUCUGAUUGCUGUGAAGGUGAACUGUGAAGUUUGCUGGAGCGUUCAGAAGGGAGAAUGUUGGGAUGAGUAACCGCAAGUGGCGUGAAAACCGCCACCGCCGAAAGCCUAAGGUUUCCUCCGCGAUGUCAAUCAUCGGAGGGUUAGGCGUCCCUAAGCGUAACCUAGCUUGCGGGCUAGGGAUCGCGAUGGUGAGCCGGUUAAUAUUCCGGCCCCGCUUACAUAUUCGAAGGAGUGACGGGCUAAAUUAGAUCGAGCGCAUUAUUGGAUUUGACGUCUUUGCUCAUAGAGUGGGAACCAGGCAAAUCCGGUUCCAGCCGAAAGGCGCACUCGAGAGUGAAAGAAAUGGCCGUUAGGCCAGAUUCGAUUGACGAGGGCUCCAAGAAAAGCUUCUAAGAUUAAUAUGUAAGCGCACGUACCGAAAACCGAAACAGGUGGGCUGGUGUAAGUGCACCAAGGCGAACGGGUGAUUAUUGGCUAAGGAACUCGGCAAAAAAGCGGCCGUAAGUUCGCGAUAAGGCCUUCCCCAGCUAACGCAAGUUAGAUGGGGACGCAGCUAAAGACCCUCUGGCGACUGUUUAUCAAAAACACAACUCCGUGCUAAGCCGUAAGGCGCUGUAUACGGGGUGACGCUUGUCCGGUGCCGGAACGUUAACGGUGAAGGUGGCGGGUAGCAAUACCCUCUGCCAACGCCCGAAGCGCCGGUGAACGACGGCAGUAACUAUAACUGUCUAAAAGUAGCAAAAUACCUUGUGGGGUAAGUUCCCACGCGCAUGAAUAGCGGAACGACUGGAGGACUGUCUCAGCCAAUAGCCCGGUGAAAAUGCAAUGUCGGUAAAGAUGCCGACUACCCGCACCUAGACGGAAAGACCCCGGAAGCUUUACUGUAGCUUGGUAUUGGUCUAUGGGUUUUAAUGCGUAGCGUAGUGGGUACACUUUGAAGCGUCUCUCUCGGGAGACGUGGAGUGGCCAAUGAAACACCCAUCUUUAAAAUCUAUAGCUCUAACCGGUGACACCCUAAAAGCGUGAAAUGAAAAUUUCAAAUUUUUAGGGUUUCAUCGAGACAGUGCCUGGCGGGCAGUUUUUGUGGGGCACAAUCCUCCUAAAAGGUAAUGGAGGAGUUCAUCAAGGUUGGCUAGCUCCGGAUGGAAAUCGGAGCGAUAGUGUAAAGGCACAAGCCAGCUUAACUGCAAGGCGGAUAUGCCGCGCAGAUGCGAAAGCAGGACCUAGUGAACCGACCGUGGCUCGUAGGAGCGCGGAAGAUCAUCAGAUAAAAGCUACUCCGGGGAUAAACUCUGCGUAACACAUACAUAAUUUUGUGUUACAAUAAGAGUAUGUUGUCCCGUUUGUCCGUAAGGACAAACAUGAUUACGGCUUAUAACGAAGAACCUAUAGAACGGUCUUUCCUGUGCGAAAGCACAUUUCUCUUCUAUAGCAACCUCGUGGGAAGUCGUGAGCGUCUUGAAUCUAAACAAAACACAAUUAGCUGUAAUUUACGGCUCAAUUAUGGGCGAUGCUUAUUUGCAGUCCAACGGCACGAAUGCCAGAUUGCGAUUUGAACAUUCUCUUAAUCAAGAGCAGUACGUUGUUUGGAAAUUUAAUUUCCUAAAGAAUAUAUUUUCAGAUUCGGCUAUUGUAAAAAUUAACAGGAUUCAUCCUAAAACCAAGCAAGAAUAUAAAUACGUUCGAUGCCAAUCUAAAACAUUGCCGGAAUUGAAGAAAAUUAAAGUUAUUUUCUAUCCAGCGGGCAAAAAGAUUGUGCCGUUAAGUAUUAAAAAGUAUUUGAUAGAACCUAUUUCUCUUGCGGUGUGGUUUAUGGAUGACGGAUAUUAUUAUCUUAGAGAUAAAUGCGGAUAUUUAUAUCUUGGAAAUAUAACGAAAGAAGAAGCUGAAGUUUGCAGCGAUACCUUGCAGAAUAAUUUUAAUCUAAAAACUAAGGUUCUAGCAAAGAAAAAAGGGUAUGCGUUAUAUUUUUCAAGAUUAGAGAUGUUAAAACUCAAAAAAGUAGUUUCUGAAUUCAUGAUCCCAAUGUUUAGAUACAAGUUACCUCAUUGACCCCGUAACGACUUGUUCUGGGUACAGUUUUUAAAAACUGGCCAGACUUAUAGCCCCCAUUCAUUAAUGGCUAUAAUACGCCGUCUCCAGUCUUUUUACAGAAAAAGCUGGAUGAAGAUAUAGUCUAAUACAUUAAUGUAUUGAACAGGCUGGUACCGCCCGAGCGUCCUUAGCGACGGCGGUGUUCGGCACCUCGAUGUCGGCUCGGCUUAUCCUGGGACUGAAGAAGGCCCCAAGGGUUUGGCUGUUCGCCAAUUAAAAAGCUACGCGAGAAAUCACGUGUCCAAGUAGUAAUAUUUGGAGCGAGCCAAAUAUAUUUCUUUAUGUUAAAAUUAAAGAAAUAUAUACUCUAGCUUAUAUCGGUAGAACCCAUGAAAAUUAACCCCUUUCACGGGCAGUACCGAGGGAAGAUUAGCUAGGAAUUAAUGCUUACGAGAGAAGAAAAGAAUAUUUUAGUCGGUUCACUUCUCGGAGAUGGAUGUUUAAGAAUAAUGCAGAAAUGCAAAGUUCCAGCAUUCUCAGUUUCUCAUAGUGAAGUUCAGAAAGACUACGUUUUUUGGAAGUAUGAGAAAUUAAAACGGUGGGUUAAAAAUCCGCCGUGGCGAGAAGAGAGAAUCUACCACAAAGAUAAAAGUAGAAAAACUUUUUCUUGGAGAUUUCAAACUUUAAGCAAUGAAGUAUUUUCUGAUUUGUAUCAAACUUUCUAUGAAAAUGGAAAGAAAAUUAUACCGGAAAAUAUAGAAUUUCUGCUUAAAGAUUCACCAUUGAUAUUGGCUGUAUGGCUAAUGGACGAUGGGAAUAAAAAUCAUCAAGCGGUUUUUCUUAACACCCAAUCAUUCUCUCUGAGUGAGCAACAGAAGCUAUGCCAGGUGUUGCAUAAAAUCUAUGGAUUUGAUGCGAAUAUAAACAAACAUAGUAAAAGCAAUGGAGUAGAACUGUAUAGAAUUAGAAUAAAUACCGAGAGCACACGAAAAUUAAAAACCGUUGUGAAGAAUUAUUUAUUACCACUGUUUUACUAUAAAAUUCCUGACUUUUCCCCGUAACGACUUGUGAGUUUAGCUCACAGAUAGUAAGUGAGGAGACUCCUUCGACUGAAGGAAUCAAAGGCUUACUAUAAAACGCUGGUACCCGAACCGAGCUUAGCUCGGAGGGUAGAGAUAUAGUCUGUGCCCCUAGUGAUAGGGGAAGAAUAAAAAACACGGAGCUGGGUUCAAACCGUCGUGAGACAGGUUGGUCCAUAUCUGGUGCGGGCGUUGAUACUUGAGAGGAGUUGUCCCUAGUAAAUAAUUGCUACUUCGCGAAGUAAUUCGCGAUGACAAUUCGGCUAAUAACGGUGGAUGCUCUUGUUUGCCAUGCAAUUCGGUCCGAAAAGCAUGAAUUAAAACUGCCAAGAGUUAAUACCGUGGGAAGUCACCCGCUCAAAUUUUUGGAAAAAAAAUGGCACAACCGAAGUUGUGCAUAGAACUGAUGUUGGGUUUAACUUAAUAGUAAUGAGCGGUAUCGGCAGUAGGUUCAACAAAUGCUUUGUACAAGUAUGUUCCAUCCACACGACCUACCUCAUCUCGUAUUUCGCCUUGGAGUGUGAAAUCUCCAGAGAGACGAUAGUUUCGGCCCUUGAACGGACCGUACUUCAUGGAUACGACCCGACCAUGUAAGGGGACCGUAUCGAGGCAAAUCUGUCCGACAUAACAGAGGGGUUCUCGAGUGUACAGAUAGAUUAUAGCAGUUAUCAUGAUUGCCUCCCCUGAGAUACCAACUUAAAAAGCAUAACGAUUUAUUUUAUAAAUGUCAAGAUUAAACUUGACUCCAAAAAUUUGAGCGUGGUUGACCCCGUAACGACUUGGCCCAUCAUUUAUUGAUGGCCGGAUGGAAAUCUUUUCAGCUUCCAUAAUAUGCCGAUCCCCGAUUCGCCUUUUGCUGGGCUUGCUAUGAGCGAGCAUAGCGAGUCGAAGGGGAAAGAUAUAGUCUGCACUUCUAGUGAUAGGAGAUUAUGUGACGAGAGGACCGGGAUGAACGAACCUCUGGUCUACGAGCUGUCCUGCCAAGGGCAUUGCUCGGUAGCUAUGUUCGGUUCUGAUAAGCGCUGAAAGCAUAUAAGCGCGAAGCAGGCCUCAAGAUUAGGUAUCGUAGAUCCGCAGUAGACUACUGCGUUAAUAGGACUCAGGUGUAAGCACAGUAAUGUGUUGAGCCGAGAGCCACUAAUAGAUCAUCU